This 72-nucleotide transfer RNA is filed under the name Camelus bactrianus (Bactrian camel). It matches the Rfam family "tRNA". From Rfam's summary of the family: Transfer RNA (tRNA) molecules are approximately 80 nucleotides in length. Their secondary structure includes four short double-helical elements and three loops (D, anti-codon, and T loops). RNAcentral also lists the same sequence under 2 other names. The record is from Rfam by way of RNAcentral. Lineage: Eukaryota; Metazoa; Chordata; Mammalia; Artiodactyla; Camelidae.
GUGGGCAUGGCUCAGUGGUAGAGUGCGUGCUUAGCAGGCACAAGGACCCGGGUUCAAUCCCCAGUACCUCCA